CCACCGCUCUCAGCGGCAGAACGGAGCGGAGCUGUGAGGCGCUAGCGCGGAGCGGGCGGGCCGGCGGCGCAAGGCGGAGCGCGGGCAGCCGGCGAAACUCCCAGGGCGGACCGCGGCGGGGAGUUAUCGGCCCCUGGCUGCGGGAGCCGGAGACCGCGGCGGCGGCGGCUGCUGCUGCUGCUGGAGGAGCCCAGGGGACACCACCCCUGCCUGCGCUCUGCCUCGGGCCAUCGCUGCUCCCCAGGGGCCCGUGCGGACUCGCCUCGGUGAAGUGUCACGAUGUCUGACCGGAAGGCAGUGAUCAAGAACGCAGACAUGUCUGAGGACAUGCAACAGGAUGCCGUUGACUGUGCCACACAGGCCAUGGAGAAGUACAACAUAGAGAAGGACAUUGCUGCCUAUAUCAAGAAGGAAUUUGACAAGAAAUACAACCCUACCUGGCAUUGUAUCGUGGGCCGAAAUUUUGGCAGCUACGUCACACACGAGACAAAGCACUUCAUCUAUUUUUACUUGGGUCAAGUUGCAAUCCUCCUCUUCAAGUCAGGCUAGGUGGCUGUGGUGAAGGUGUCAGUGGCGACGGCAGCGAUGGCAAGCAGGCGGCGUUGCUGGGACUGUUUUGCACUGGGGCCAGCAUCAGGAUGUCCUCUCCAAUGGCUGUGCUACUGCAUGGACUGUAUACUCGAUUUCAUGUGUAUGUUGCAGUAAACAAAACCAAACCUCUUUCUGUUUAGUUGCCUGGGGAAGAAGGCUGCUUUAUGUUUAUUUUUCAAGACUUUAAAAAUAUUUUUUGGUUGUAUUGCACUAGGAAAUCUCUCCCAUCUCUCCCUUUUCUCUUUCUUUCGCUAUACAAAAUAACAGGCCCUCCACAAAUACUAGGAGGCUGAAAGACUAGGAGGGCUGAGGAAAAGAAAUAGGUCUCUGGAGGUGGAACUAAAACUGUGCAGCUGCCUCUUCCUGGCGGUGGAUGCUGCUUUGGGAGGGCCAGGGAGUCUGCAGGGGGACAGUGUUGGGAUUGUCAAGGAGAAAGGGAUAGGAAUGAGGUGGAGGGAUUGAUCUAGUACCAGGGAGAAUAUUCCACUGAACUGUGAUUCAAUGGCUUGGGGCAGAGGGGGUGGGGAGGGGAUGUGUUCUUUAGGGGGCCCUGAGAUGUGUUUGUCUGUGGUGUGUGGGAGUGGGGAGCAGACUUGUCUUGCUGUCUUGUCAGAAUUUCUAAGUAAGGGCUGUGUCUUUGUGGAUUACCUUCUUUUGUUCUUCCUACCAGAGAUCAUGACAGGAGGAUGUUGGGGGUAGGAUUAGCUUGAAUUUUUUUUUUUUUUCUUUACAUUCUUCUUGUCUGCUCCCUGCUUAGCCCUCAGUUUUCUCAUUCCUCUGGAGUUCUCUUAGAGCAGCCCCUGUUGUUAGUUGGCUGGCAAGGGAAUUUCUGGUGACUGUAGUUCCUUAGUUAGGUGUUAGCAAUCAAACCAAAUCGAUGUCUCCCUUGAUUCUCCUGUGUGUGUGUGUGUGUGUGUGUGUGUGUAUGUGUAUAUAUAUGUGUGGGGUUUGGGGUAGAGGGGAGGGAGGGGGUAGGACAGUGUGGAAUCUCUAGGGUGUAUGGGUAGGUAGAGGACACAGUUCUAAGUGGGCCUUUAUGUUAAAAGCUUCUGGGAAUACCUGUUUUGGAAGUAAAGAUAGGUGUCCACUCCUUGCUGUCAUCUGGCCCAGACACUCUGCUUGCUCUCUGGCUGUCUGCUCCCUGGGAAGGCUUUAGGAGGACCACCCAGGACAGGAUGACCAUGCUGCCAUCUGCUCUGGAGCUGGGUCUCUGUGCAGAGGGACAGUGACUGGAUGGUUGUAGUCUCUCGUGGGAGGUGAGGAUGGAAGUGAUAACGAGCUGAGAGGAGCUUCUGGGGAGCCUUGGAGGAGGUCAGUCUUGUAGUGAUGAAGCCAGAUAGCAGGAGAUGGAGCAGGGCUGUGAGGGGAGGAGAUUCCAAGGAGGAUGCAGGGGAAAUCUUGUCUGUUAAUGUAAUAGGAGUAGGGUGGGGUUUGGGGUGGGGUGGUCAUUGCCGUUUGAGCUGCUGAUUCUCAUGAGUCGCCUUCAAAACUCUCGUGUAGGGUUGACAAUGUGGGGGGUGGGGAAUCCAACUUAUUUUAUUUUCAAGUCCAUUCUUGGGGCUAGUGGGGAGGCAGGAGAAUGCCCCUCCCUAAGCCCUUAGUGUGUGCUGAGCUUGCUUUUCGAUGUUGGCAGGGGAGGGAGGACCUGGGUGGUGACUGAGUUCUAUAUCAAACCCUUCAAUGGGCACAAAAUUGAGUGCUUGAUUUUAGGUUUUAUUUUUUUAUGAAUGUCCAAAUCUGUUUCCCCCUGCCCUCCCAGACUGUGUGGCCAGUUGAAAGUGUCUAGUUUGUGUUCAUCUCUCCCUCAUUUCUGGAGCAGGGCCUGAGACCCUGCCACAUCUCCUAUGCUCUGCAUCCACGCCUCUUUUGGACAUUAAAGGUUGACUGAUGCACCUCUGCGCUGUUUGGGUCUCUUUGGGGGUUAAGGGGUUGGCCUAGUGGCAGUGGUGCCACACAGUGGGUGACGGUGGAGGAUUCCAGGAUGGAGUAGAAUGGGGACUGAAGAGAAGACCAGGCACAACAUACUGAUUGACCUGAAGCAGCACUUAUUUGUGCCUAGGCUUAUGCCCCUUAAGUGGAAGAAAACUAGCCAGCAGCACUCACCCUCAAGGGCUCCUGGGUCCUACCUUCCUUGGUGGUGAUGACCAGGUGAGCCAUAUUUUGUGUCUUUGGGAUAGUAGCUGCUGCCUUCCUAGCUGCCAUCAUGGACCUGCCUGAGCUUGGCUUCUUCAACUUUUGCCCAAAGUUCAUCUCUUUCAUACUCUUCCCUUCUCUGCUUCCCUGAACCUGGGAACUAUUUAGCAAAGGGUCUGGCCACUCAGAAAUGGAAAGCUGGGAGUAUUCAGAAAGAUGGAGCCUCUUGUGGUGGAACCUAAGUGAUUCUCGGACUCCUAUUGCCCAGACACAACUUGAGAAAUCUGCAGUGCCAAGACUGAGCGUGUCUGCCCACCCCUGACUACAAUGUUGUAUGGCUGCAAUCCUGAUGGAGGGGUUAGGGAGCCAGAGGUGCUUUGGCUUCUUUGUGUUAACCGUUUAUUUACUCAAAAACAUUUAAGAGUUCUUGUAUGCCUGGGCUUAGGAUGCUGUUCGUACAGUAGAAUGAGACAGGCAAGUUCUAGGCUUCUGUGACAUGCAGGCUGUUAUGUGUAGAGCAGACAUACACACCCCGAUCAACUUUUUCCAAUGGUGAUAAAUGUGUUAUCAAGGGAAUGAACUGGGCAAUCAGUUAUUGAGUGUUAGAGGUAGAUAGAUAGGGUUCCUCCAGUUAGGAAGGAGGUUGGAUAAUCUUGGCGAGAAGCUCUACAUCUGGGGCAGUGAGGUCCUAAGGGAUUAAGAUUAAAAAAAAAGGGAGAGUAGAGCCCCAACUUCUGUUACUGCCUUAACUGACAUAAGUAAUUUGACAGAGCUGGAGCUUUGGGAGGGAGAGUGAGGCCACAGUUCACAUUUCAUCAGGAAUGAGUAUCUCCAGGGCCAAAGCUUAUCUGCUUCCUGCCCUGAUGAAAGGGGUAGUCUAGUGGCAUCUUUGAACAACACAUUUCCUGCACAGGUAGUAGGUGCACACUGCUCAUCUGGAAGGCUAAUCCUGCAGGGCUUACUGGAGGAGAUGAGCCUCCACUCUGUGGGGCCCAGCAUAGGAAAAGAUGUGAGCAUGUGUCACUGAAGGGACUGUGGAAGGCAGAUGGAAAUUGUGGGAUUGUCUCAGAAGAACUCAGUGGCUAUUAUAAAUGUU
Molecule: RNA transcript, 3820 nt
Organism: Cebus imitator (Panamanian white-faced capuchin)
Lineage: Eukaryota; Metazoa; Chordata; Mammalia; Primates; Cebidae
Gene: DYNLL2
Gene name: dynein light chain LC8-type 2
Exons: 5
Source: RefSeq, a predicted model, not a curated record